Molecule: unclassified non-coding RNA, 379 nt
Filed under: plant metagenome
Description: partial contains 5.8S ribosomal RNA, internal transcribed spacer 2, and large subunit ribosomal RNA
Rfam family: 5.8S ribosomal RNA (bases 1-106)
Source: RNAcentral
CGAAAUGCGAUAAGUAAUGUGAAUUGCAGAAUUCAGUGAAUCAUCGAAUCUUUGAACGCACCUUGCGCUCCCUGGUAUUCCUUGGAGCAUGCCUGUUUGAGUAUCAUGAAAUCUUCAAAGUAAAUCUUUUGUUAACUCAAUUGGUUUCUACUUUGGUAUUGGAGGUCUUUGCAGCUUCACACCUGCUCCUCUUUGUUCAUUAGCUGGAUCUCAGUGUUAUGCUUGGUUCCACUCGGCGUGAUAAGUUAUCUAUCGCUGAGGACACUGUAAAAGGUGGCCAAGGUAAAUGCAGAUGAACCGCUUCUAAUAGUCCAUUGACUUGGACAAUACUUUUAUGAUCUGAUCUCAAAUCAGGUAGGACUACCCGCUGAACUUAAGC